Molecule: long non-coding RNA, 149 nt
Filed under: Neogobius melanostomus (round goby)
Lineage: Eukaryota; Metazoa; Chordata; Actinopteri; Gobiiformes; Gobiidae
Description: lncRNA (ENSNMLG00000004718.1)
Source: RNAcentral
CAGCUCCGGUGCUGUCGUUGGUGACAGAGAAAAUGCUGUGGUACGAGCCCGGGCCCCGGACGUGGGACGAGGCGCGGCAGUUCUGCAGGAGUGAGUAUGGAGGAGAGCUGGCCACAAGAGAGACUUCUUCUGACAUUGCUGACUUAAAG